RNAcentral lists this ribosomal RNA (253 nucleotides) under uncultured bacterium. RNAcentral's name for it is "partial 16S ribosomal RNA". It matches the Rfam family "Bacterial small subunit ribosomal RNA", at positions 524 to 776 of the family's 1533-position model. The record is from RNAcentral.
UACGGAGGGUGCAAGCGUUAUCCGGAUUUACUGGGUUUAAAGGGUGUGUAGGCGGACUUUUAAGUCAGCGGUGAAAUCUCCGGGCUCAACCCGGAAACUGCCAUUGGUACUAUUGGUCUUGAAUGUUGUUGAGGUGGGCGGAACGGGUCAUGUAGCGGUGAAAUGCAUAGAUAUGACCCGGAACACCGAUUGCGAAGGCAGCCCACUAAGCAAUGAUUGACGCUGAGGCACGAAAGCGUGGGGAUCAAACAGG